This 163-nucleotide ribosomal RNA is filed under the name Saccharomycetales sp. RNAcentral describes it as "partial large subunit ribosomal RNA". It matches the Rfam family "Eukaryotic large subunit ribosomal RNA", at positions 99 to 259 of the family's 3401-position model. The record is from RNAcentral. Lineage: Eukaryota; Fungi; Ascomycota; Saccharomycetes; Saccharomycetales.
CGGCAAUAGCUCAAGUUUAGAAUCUGUAGUCGUCUCGGCUACCGAAUUGUAAUCUAAAGGGGCUAACAAAAGGCAAGGUAGAGGGAUAAGUUCCUUGGAACAGGACAUCAUAGAGGGUGAAAAUCCCGUAUGUAUCCUUUACCGAACCGAAUGUUGACCUUCU